ACACCCCUCGUUUGGGGCACCUGUGUGUAAUUUGCUGGGAGGCUUUUAAGACCAGCGUUCUCAAACAUUCCUCGCCGGAACGUCAGCUAACCCACCUUCACAGUGGAUUGGAUCUUGCUGCCUGUAACUACUCAACUCUCCGUCGCUGGCCUGCUUACUAUUCUCGGCGCUAUUCACCUGCCUGCCUCCCUGCCCAACACUUCACAGUGAGUGUACACGAGCUGGUUUAGCCUCACUCGGACCUCUAACCUCACCGCCAACCCAGACAAUGACUCAGAGAAACCCUGUACCUUGCAUGCCUGCUCCGGAAAAUCCCAGAUAACGAGCCCAGCCCGAUUAAGAGACUAUUUCCUUUGGACUUUGCUGCUGCACACGCAGUGUGAUUCUGGUUUACUGCUUAGCAAUUAUUUUGAAGAUGGUCAAACCAAGACCUGUAUACUUUCUUAGCAUUUCUGGUAACAGCUUUUUCUGCUAGCUUUUGCUAUCACAGUGUGUUUGUUGCUACUGAUUCUUAGGACCGUAAUCAGAAACUGUGUUAGUAGGUAGCCAAUGUUCAGAGGUCUGUUUUCCCUCUCACCUUCAGUUCACUUAUUGCAUUUUUGUUUCUUAUCCUCCUUGAUGGUGUGCCAGUUUUGAGUGUCAAUAAAUUAUACAUUUCAC
Pelmatolapia mariae (spotted tilapia) is the source of this 660-nucleotide long non-coding RNA. RefSeq lists it as uncharacterized. The transcript is spliced from 3 exons. NCBI's taxonomy places the organism in Eukaryota, Metazoa, Chordata, Actinopteri, Cichliformes, Cichlidae. The record is from RefSeq and is a predicted model, not a curated record.